GCCACGGUGGUCUAGCGGUUAGAACGCUGGCCUAGUAAUCCUGGGGUCUCGGGUUCGAUUCCCGGCGGUGCCC
This is a non-coding RNA of Zootermopsis nevadensis, 73 nucleotides long. NCBI's taxonomy places the organism in Eukaryota, Metazoa, Arthropoda, Insecta, Blattodea, Termopsidae. The record is from Rfam.